Molecule: transfer RNA, 66 nt
Filed under: Scirtothrips dorsalis
Lineage: Eukaryota; Metazoa; Arthropoda; Insecta; Thysanoptera; Thripidae
Description: tRNA-Glu
Source: RNAcentral
UAUUUAUGAAGUUUAAAAUAUUAUAUUUUCAGUAUAAAGAAGAUAAUGUAAAUUAUCCAUAAAUAA